Molecule: ribosomal RNA, 773 nt
Filed under: uncultured bacterium
Lineage: Bacteria
Description: bacterial SSU rRNA
Rfam family: Bacterial small subunit ribosomal RNA
Source: RNAcentral
AGAGUUUGAUCCUGGCUCAGGACGAACGCUUGCGGCGUGCCUAAGAAAUGCAAGUCGAACGGGCAGAGCCUUCGGGCUUUGUCAGUGGCGAACGGUCGCGUAACACGUAAGCAACCUGCCCCGAAGUGGGGGGAUAACAGCUCGAAAGGGCUGCUAAUACCGCAUGUGGCCGAGCAGUCGCCUGACUGUUUGUCCAAAGCCUUGUGCGCUUCGGGAUGGGCUUGCGGCCUAUCAGUUAGUUGGUGGGGUAACGGCCUACCAAGGCGUUGACGGGUAGCUGGUCUGAGAGGAUGGUCAGCCGGAUUGGGACUGAGACACGGCCCAGACUCCUACGGGGGGUAGCAAUUAGGAAUCUUGCGCAAUGGGGGCAACCCUGACGCAGCGACGCCGCGUGCGGGAUGACGGCCUUCGGGCUGUAAACCGCUUUUGAAGGGGAAGAAACAAAUGACGGUACCCUUCGAAUAAGCCCCGGCUAACUACGUGCCAGCAGCCGCGGUAAUACGUAGGGGGCGAGCGUUGUCCGAAGUUACUGGGCGUAAAGCGCGCGUAGGCGGUUUUCUAAGUCCGGCGUGAAAGGUUCAGGGCUCAACCCGAACAGUGCGCUGGAGACUGGAGAGCUUGAGGACGGGAGAGGGAAGCGGAAUUCCGGGUGUAGCGGUGAAAUGCGUAGAUAUCCGGAGGAACACCGAUGGCGAAGGCAGCUUCCUGGCCCGUAUCUGACGCUGAGGUGCGAAAGCGUGGGGAGCGAACGGGAUUAGAUACCCUAGUAGUCC